GAUGAACGCUGGCGGCGUGCCUAAUACAUGCAAGUCGAGCGAACGGACGAGAAGCUUGCUUCUCUGAUGUUAGCGGCGGACGGGUGAGUAACACGUGGAUAACCUACCUAUAAGACUGGGAUAACUUCGGGAAACCGGAGCUAAUACCGGAUAAUAUUUUGAACCGCAUGGUUCAAAAGUGAAAGACGUCCUUGCUGUCACUUAUAGAUGGAUCCGCGCUGCAUUAGCUCGUUGGUAAGGUAACGGCUUACCAAGGCAACGAUGCAUAGCCGACCUGAGAGGGUGAUCGGCCACACUGGAACGGAGACACGGUCCAGACUCCUACGGGAGGCAGCAGUAGGGAAUCUUCCGCAAUGGGCGAAAGCCUGACGGAGCAACGCCGCGUGAGUGAUGAAGGUCUUCGGAUCGUAAAACUCUGUUAUUAGGGAAGAACAUAUGUGUAAGUAACUGUGCACAUCUUGACGGUACCUAAUCAGAAAGCCACGGCUAACUACGUG
Molecule: ribosomal RNA, 497 nt
Filed under: uncultured bacterium
Lineage: Bacteria
Description: partial 16S ribosomal RNA
Rfam family: Bacterial small subunit ribosomal RNA
Source: RNAcentral